This 1098-nucleotide long non-coding RNA is filed under the name Manacus vitellinus (golden-collared manakin). Its description in RNAcentral is "lncRNA (ENSMVIG00005007452.1)". Lineage: Eukaryota; Metazoa; Chordata; Aves; Passeriformes; Pipridae. The record is from RNAcentral.
GACUUUUGCCAUCCAAGUGCAGGACUCAGCACUUCACCUUGUUAAACCUCAUACUAUUGGCCUUGACCCAUUGAUCCAGCCUGUCCAGACCCCUCUGCAGAGCCUUCCUGCCCUCCAGAUCAACAUUCCCACCCAACUUGGUGUCACCUGCAAAUUGACUGAGGGUACACUCAAUCCCCUCAUCCAGACCAUUGAUGAAUUCCUCCUGCUAUAUUUUGUCUCUUGUCCCUUUUAAAAUUUUCUUGCAAUGUCUCCCUCUGAGCAGUUCAACGUAUUUUUAAAUUCUCACUAUGUUUCUUGUACCCUCUCACUUUUUAUAUUAUUUUUUUCUGUGUUAGGUUCAUGUAUCCAGGUUUUGGUAGCAGCAGAGGUGCAGGGGUGGCUUCUGUGAAGACAUCAGGAACUGUCCCUGUGGCAGACAGAACCAGUUCCAGCAGGAUGCAGAAAAGAUCUGCCACUGGUCAAAGCUGAGCCACAGCUCUCCAGAUGCGGCAUCACCAGUGUGGAGUAAAGGGGAAGGACCUUUAAACUUUGCUACCACUCUAAACAAAGUGGCUUCCUCAAAUACUGUAAGAAACAGAGCUAUUCCUGUCCACUAGCCCAUCAGACCAGCCCAUGAGGGAGAUGCCUGGUGACUGGAGGGAGGCAGAAGAACUGAAGGCUUGGCUGGAGAGUUCGAACAGUACAUGGGAAACAACUGUGGUGCAAGCUGUGUGUAAUGAGGGAUGGGCACAGCUGCAGCCAGGCUGGGAGCAGCUGCUUCCACAGGCUCGCAGAAUCCUUUGGGUCCAGCAUAGCAAGGUAAGCACAAGUGCAAAGACACCUCCCUCCAGCACACUCUGCAAGUUUACAGAUGUGUGAUCUGAUGAAUGUGGCAUUUAAACUUGGCUUUCAGUGAAGAAACAUGAUUUGUAGUGUCUUCUGUUUGCACCUUUGUUUUGCCCAAAAACAACGUAGGGUUUACUGCCAAAGCAGAAAACAGAGCAAAUGUGUCUUACAGUGCUGCCAGAAACUGGAUUCUUAAGAGGACUUUCACAAUUACAAUUAUAUCUUUUAGUACAAAUGAGAGAGUGGAAAAAAGGGUAACAAAUCAGGGUG